AGAAUAAGACAGUUGGAAGGUAUGAUUGACAUGCAAAAGAGACAAGUCAAGGAAAUUGAAGAAAAGUUCUUCUUCCUCUUUUUGUUUUUCUCUCUAGCUUUUAUUAUUGGGCCUUAAUGACACUGACACUGACCGACAUCAGGUAAUGGCACAGAGCUACGCAACCUCCCUACGCAACCUCCCUACGCAACCUCCCUAAUACUGUGUAAUAACAUUGAUGAUGACGCUGACGAUCGUUUGUCUGUUUCCUCAGGUGCUAAGGCGCUCAGGUGGAGAGUGAGGAAGAAACACACAUUUGUUUUUUUUAUGCGUUUUUUAGAUGGUUCACAAACCUUAUGUCUUUUUUGAUAAACAUGCACUUUUAACCUGGGAUGCAAAACAUAACAAAACCAUGACUUUGAAAAGUGAACAAAUACCAGAGACAUAUAAAGAGAGGUAUAUCAGUGUUUUUUUAUAGAAAGGAAGCCUCGCCUACCAUUUCUGGAAGUGGAACAAUUAGCCAAACUAACGUGAGUUCUAUAAAGCAUAAAGAUUGUGACUGGAACACUGAAGCUGGUCAAUAAGGACAACAUUGAUUGAGACAGUGCCUCAGAUGAAUUUAGAGACAGUGCCUCAGAUGAAUUUAGAGACAGUGCCUCAGAUGAAUUUAGAACCACACAACGAAAGAGUGCAAUUGGAGAGGAGGGAGAAAGAGGAGGAGAGGAAGAAGAAGGAGGAGGAAAGAUGGGGAGGGGGAAAGAAAGCAGGAGGCCUUUCUAACAGUCUAGCCAAGUCCUGGGCACUGGACAUUCCCGGAAAGCUCAGCGCCUGAGGGUCUCCAUGGAAACGGCCGUCACGGCCACGUUGAAAGGGUAAGAAGUGAAAGCUCUGAGUAGGUUCCGCAGUAGAGAGACACCAGAGGACUGAGGGAACGGGAGGAGUCUAGUCUGUGAAAGACAACAAAGAAUCUUCAGUUCUAGAGAGGUCACCCAUGAACAACAACCAUGGAGGGGAACAUGAUUACAACAGCGGGGACCGGAACCGGAGCUGACUCUGUAACCAUGGUAACAGGUCCCACUGGCACCCCGGACCUCCAGGUUCUGACCCACAGAGUGAAGCUUCUAGAGCACAGCCUGAGAGACAACGUCAGCUCCUUCACUGAGUCUGAGAGCGCUCUGCACAACAGGAUUAGAGAGUUGGAGGUGUCAGAACAGAGCCUGCUACAGAAGGUGGAGGACCUUACUGCCAACUCAGUCCUCCACUGCCCCAGCAUGCUGCAGCGCCAGAGGCUGGACGAGCGGCUCCACACGCUGAGGGAGGAGGUACGCUCCAUGUCCCAGGAGAAGGAGCGUGGGGAUCGUGUGUGGAGGGAGAGGCUGCGGCGCUGCCAGGCCCAGCUCAGGGCUAAAGAAGAGGAGAUGGGCCGCCAGUCUCAGUACUUUGAGCACUUUAAGAGCCAGCUUCACCACAAGCUAGACAUGGCCAGAGACAAGGAGCAGGGCCUUCAAACCAGACUCCACCAGCUGGAGCGACAGGUGCUGGAGAUGAACGUAUCUGCUGCCACCUACAUAGCCCCUGUCAACACAGCUAGCACCAACUCCGUUACUGCAGCCAAUGUCAAUCCCAUCAUAGUACCAACCUCAGGCCAACAGAGAACAGAGACAGAGAGACUGCCCCACCCAAGGGAGGAAGGACAAGGAGAGGAGGAGGACGGUGAGGAGAAGACACAGCGGAGACACUACGGACAACAGCUCCAGCAGAAGCAGGGAGCGGAUGAUAGAGAAAUAGAGGGAGAAAGAGAGGGGGAGGAAGAGGGUGAGAGUCUGGGGGGUGAGGCUAGACUGAGAAGCUUCAUCCUCAGCCUCCAGGAGGACCUCCGGGUUCUGCUGGAGAGGGAGGAGCAGGAGCUGGCGGAGCAGAGGGGGCUGAUGGAACAGCUGCAGGAAGCGCAGGAGAACAACCACUUCUUGUCCUGUACGUUGGAGGAGAUGAGGACGGUGGUCCACAGACUGAAGCUGACAGAGAGCUCCCUGAUGGAGGAGGUGGAGGAGCUGCAAGAGGAGAACCAGAGACUGUGUCAGAGGCUCAGCCACACCCUGAGACAGACCAACCACAGCCUGGGUUCUACUGACCCCAACCCUGUCGCUACCCCCAGCCUGGCUACCUCCCUGACAAACGCCCCUGGCCUGAGUCCGCAGAGCAGGGAACUGGUUGACAACACUGACCUGGUGAAGAUGAUCCCAGGCCAGUCUUCACUAGACACACCUCACUCUGCUCAACACCAUGGAGCAACAGAGAGGUCACAGGAAAACUCCACUCUGCCUCUGCCCCAGCCGGACCUCCUGAACCUCUCAGGCCACCGUAGCCAGAACCCCUGCCUCAUAUCCCUGGGUACUAAGAGCAUUGAGGGUCUGGGGGAGUUGACCCUGAGGGACUGGUGUCCUGGUCCUGGGGGCGUCCCCUCUCUCAACCUGGAGGAGGGGACAAGCGAGGAGACUGAGGCCCUGAGAGAGGCUUACAGGAGCAUGGGGGGCGACAUGGACUCACUCCGGGACCACAGGGACCAGCUGGAGAGCACGCUACGACACACACAGGACCAGCUGCACAGGGUGACCGAGGAGAACGCCCGACUGAAAUGUAAACUCAGGGCGCAGGGAGAAACAGGGGCCUGCGAGGUGGAGCAGGGGUCCUCGCUUGUAGGCGAGAGCAUGACAAAUGUCCAGGAAAACAAGGUGCCAACUCCAAACCUAAUACCCCAGGGGAGCAGAGAGCUCACUGCAACUCCAUAUCAGAAUGAUACUAUCCUAGCCUUAGCCCAGGAUGACCUGUCCCUGUAUGCCUUAGCCCAGGAUGACCUAGCCCUAGCCUUGAACCAGGAGAACCGGGCCCUGGGCAGGCGUAUCCAGGAGCUCCUAGCCCACAUAGAGCGCCAGGAGGGGGAGAGUGAGAGGGAGCUAGUCCAGCUCAGGCUGCAGGUGUCCCUGCUAGAGAGGGAGAGCACCAGGCUGGAGCAAGAGAACCAGGAGCAGGGAGGUCUCAUCACUGAACUGACCAGGAAGACUGAGGAUGACCUCAACACUAUCAUAGAGCUGCAGGAAAGACGGGUUGAGAGCAGUCAGCUAGGCCUACAGCAGGAGGACCGUUUGACCACGGAGUCAACGUGCAGGCUUCGAGAGAACAGGGACGAGCUGAUUGUCUAUCUCAGUGAUCUCAAAGAGGAAAGAGAACAGGUGUCCCUCUCACUUAGCAGUCAGACAGAGGAGAAACACCAGCUAACACGCUCCAUGUGGGUUCUGAAAGAAGAACGCGACCAGAUCCAUAAGUCACUCUGCGGUUUAAAAGAAGAGAAAGAACAGCUGACAAGGUCCCUCUGUGGUCUGAAAGAUGAGAGAGACAAGGUGAUGCGGUCAAUGUGUGGUUUAAAAGAGGGGAGAGACCAGCUAGUUCAGUCAAUGUCUGGACUCCAGGAGGAGAGAGACCAGCCAGUUCAGUCAAUGUCUGGACUCCAGGAGGAUAGAGACCAGCCAGUUCAGUCAAUGUCUGGACUCCAGGAGGAGAGAGACCAGCCAGUUCAGUCAAUGUCUGGACUCCAGGAGGAUAGAGACCAGCCAGUUCAGUCAAUGUCUGGACUCCAGGAGGAGAGAGACCAGCCAGUUCAGUCAAUGUCUGGACUCCAGGAGGAGAGAGACCAGCUAGUUCAGUCAAUGUCUGGACUCCAGGAGGAGAGAGACCAGCUAGUUCAGUCAAUGUCUGGACUCCAGGAGGAGAGAGACCAGCUAGUUCAGUCAAUGUCUGGACUCCAGGAGGAGAGAGACCAGCUAGUUCAGUCAAUGUCUGGACUCCAAGAGGAGAGACACCAGCCAGUUCAGUCAAUGUCUGGACUACAGGAGGAGAGAGACCAGCCAGUUCAGUCAAUGUCUGGACUCCAGGAGGAGAGAGACCAGCCAGUUCAGUCAAUGUCUGGACUACAGGAGGAGAGAGACCAGCUAGUUCAGUUAAUGUCUGGACUCCAGGAGGAGAGAGACCAGCUAGUUCAGUCAAUGUCUGGACUCCAGGAGGAGAGAGACCAGCUAGUUCAGUCAAUGUCUGGACUCCAGGAGGAGAGAGACCAGCUAGUUCAGUCAAUGUCUGGACUCCAGGAGGAGAGAGACCAGCUAGUUCAGUCAAUGUCUGGACUCCAGGAGGAGAGAGACAAGCUCUCGCAGUCAAUGUCUGGACUCCAGGAGGAGAGAGACCAGCUAGUUCAGUCAAUGUCUGGACUCCAGGAGGAGAGAGACCAGCUAGUUCAGUCAAUGUCUGGACUCCAGGAGGCGAGAGACCAGCUAGUUCAGUCAAUGUCUGGACUACAGGAGGAGAGAGACCAGCUAGUUCAGUCAAUGUCUGGACUCCAGGAGGAGAGAGACCAGCUAGUUCAGUCAAUGUCUGGACUCCAGGAGGAGAGAGACAAGCUCUCGCAGUCUCUCUUCAGCCAAAAAGAUGAGAGAGACCAGUUGAUGCAGUCAAUGUGUGGUUUAAAGGGACAGAGGGACCAGCUAACACAGACACUCAGCCGUCUAGAGCAGGAGAGAGACAAGCUGUCAUCUCUCAGUCUUCAAACACGAGAGAGGUACCAGGUGGACCAGUUUGUCUCUGAUCUAAAAGAAGAGAAGGAGCAGCUAGUUCAGUCAAUGGAUGUUCUGAGAGAACAGAGAGAACAGCUCACAGAGGAGAGAGACCAGUUGCAGAUGGACGUCGCUACUCUACGGAAUCAGCUGCUGUUACAGGGGUGGAGCCACAACCAGCAGCCCUCAGAGAACCAUGUUGGCAAGGCAACACGCACAGAGGUUGUGGCUACAGAGAGAGGGGGUCAGAUGCCAAAAACGCAUGAUGAUGGUGAUGUCACUCAUAGAUGCCUGGCCACGGUCUACUCCUACAAGACCAUCCGUCUGGCGCAGUCUGCACAGGACCAUUUGGGAGAGAAAGAGGGAACAGAUGUGGAGCAGAGUGGACUGAUGAGGGAGAUCGAGUCGCUGGGGUUAGAACUCAGAAGCUCACGAGAGGUACUGAAGAAGACCCAAUCAGAGGCUCAAAGGUGGUACCGUGAGCUGGGUGUGUCUGAGGUCAGACGAGAGGAGGCUGAGAAGAGGGCGGGAAAGGCAGCCAAUGAGGUGAAGAGGGCGGUACAGGCAGCAAAUGAGGUGAAGAGGGCGGUACAGGCAGCCAAUGAGGUGGGGAUGAGAGAGGAAACCAAGGAGGUGGAGGAGAUGAAGAGGGAAAACCACACACUGAGAGCAGAGUUGGGAGAGGUGAAGAGCAGACUAGUGGGUCUGGAGAGAGAGAAGACCGAUGCUCACUCACUAAGGAUCAAGAUCGAAGAGAAGUUCAGCUUGCUUCAGGCUGAACUCAAAGCCAAGAGUGUUGCUCUGAAGGAGCUGAGUUCAGAGUACACAUCUCUGAAGAGAGAGCAGGGCAGCAGAGAGGACUGGAGCAACACACUCACCUUACUGAGGGUGCGCUAUGAUGACAUCAGAGCUAAGUACAACGUUCUCCUGAGAAAGAGUCAGACGGACCAGGACAUAGCUCCUCUAAAGGCCAAGCUGUCAUGUCUCGUGGGGAAGUGCCAGCAGAGGAACAGUCUACUGGUGCAGUUGAUGCGAGCCCUGCGUCGGUAUGGCUGCCUGGACUACAAUCUGACCCAGGAGGCUGAGGACCUGCUUAACGACACAGCGCUGCAGGACUACGCCAGCACCUUCACACCCCCAUCCGCUGCAGCUCUGCAGGAGAACACCCCCCUUCUCCCACCUGCAGCCUCAGAACGACCGGAGCGCUCACAGACCUCUGCUGCAGCCUCCACAGCACAGCUUCCCCUUUCUGCGGGUGAAUCAGUCCAAGUCACUGGACUCCCAGACAGACGUGGGAUGUACCAUGCCGAGGUGAAAGGGAAGUCUGGCCUGGUCCCUGCCCGUUUCUUAGAGGAGAAUGGGAGACCACUCAUCCUGACUUCCCCCUCGCCAGAGAGAUGUGCCAGUCUGACUAGGAAGCUGACCAGUCCAGGGAAGAUCAUCAACCUUCACCAGCAGUUGCAGAACACUCUCUCCAACAGCUACCAGGUUUUCCCUUCCAAGACCAGCCCCCAGGUUUACUCCAGUCCCCCUUCAGGACAGGGGUACUCCCCAGGAUACCCCAACCACAACCUUGCUUUUCCCAACCGACCCAAGCAUACCCUUGUAGCAACUACCCCUAUUAUUACUACUACUAGUCUCCUAUCUACCACUGCCCCCACUAAAACUACCAGUGAUGGUGCUACCUCUCCUAAGCAGACACCAAACAGAGCACAUCCAACUACCAACCCCCCUGUCCACACCACCACCACCACCACUACUGCCCUUAGCAGUGGUAAAGAACCCCUCUCUAAAACUGGCUCUAUUGCUGCUACCUCCAAUGUUACAACCCCUGUUAAUACCCCUCCUACCGCUGUGGCCCAGACUGUUAAAGCACAAACUACCACUGCCUUGUGGAACACUGCCCCCACCAAAUCUGCCCCUCCAACUAUUACCGCUGGAACUACAGCCCCCACCAAAAUGGCCCCUAUCACUACUGCUCUUUCCCUUGCUGAGUUGUCACGACUGCCUGAUGAGGACCAUUGCAUCAAGAAGCCCCUCGCCAUCCUCCAACCUGAACAAGCUAAGCCAACCAAACCCAGAGCUAUACCAGAACCUCCAGCUGAGGUGGGCUCUGUUGAGGUCCUCAGGACUGUGGGACAGAGCAGCCUCAUGAUUGGUUGGGAGAGACCGCCACUGGAUGAGCUGGGCUGCAGCAACGGAACCUUUGUGUAUGGAUACAUGAUCUAUGUAGAAGGGGAGUUCCACAAGUCUGUCAUGAGCUCUGCAUGCACGAAGUGUAUUCUGGAGAAUCUGGAUCUGUCCGGUCCGGUCCACAUCAGUGUUCAGACCCUGGGCUCCAACGGUCUCUAUGCGGAGAAGGUCCUCCUCAUCUACAGGGGAAAACACACCCAGUUUAGGACAGAUCACACCCGUGUCAACACAGCUUCUGCUGCUCCCUUCACAGACCCUGCCUACCUAGACUGCAGGACUCCGCCCACACACCGACACAGUGGCUCCACCCAACCAUUUGUGGCCAUCUACAACUACAACCCUCUGAAGGACAGUCCUAACCUCCACCCCAGCAGAGAGCUGGCCCUGAGAGAGGGAGACACCGUCAUGCUGCUAGGCAACCCACGCAACGACGGCUUCUGUCAGGCCGAGGUGAAUGGCAGACGAGGUCUGGCUCCUGUGGCGUUACUAGAGGAAGUUCCUGUUCCAGACAGACAUGUAAGCUCCGCCCCUCCCCAAUCUUCUCCUGAGAGAGGACCAGAUGAUAGGCCACUGCGCCUGCCAAUCAGAGAGAGAACAAGAUGGGCCGCUGUGACUGUCAAUCAGUGAGAAAUCAAGAUGAUGGGCCACUGUAGCUGCCAAUCAAAGAAUGCUUACCCACAGAGAGAGAUUAUAGUGGCCAGAGUUAAUGACAUAAUCAAACACUGCCUGCCUGUGACACAAACGUUCAUAAGUGCUCGCUGCCUAAAGUCAUUUGAAAUGGAAGGCUACAGUAGAGCACCAGCCAAAUGUGGGAAGUUAUGUGGCCCAGUUUUACAUUGUGCUUCGAUAGACAGUUCCUUAUAACCUACAUAAUACUCACUGAGAUUGUGUCUAAUCACCUCUAACUGUCACCUCUAUCAAAAUUCUCUCUAUUCACCUCUAUCAAAAUCCCCAGUGUUCUGUGUGUGUAAUCUCUCGUGGACAGACGCACGUAACAUAGCUGGUAUUGUAGUGUCUGUCAACAGACAGUGGGAUGCAACGACUAUCAAGGAACUGAAAACAUGAAACAUCACUGAUCAUUUUGGACAAAUCACAAUUUCGCAUAUUUCGGAAGGGGAGGGGACAUUUGGCCCAUAGACUUGCCUGUAACUUGCAAAGGGGGGUGGAGCUACUGUCCUGCUUCCACUGCUUGCUCUAGUCUCUUUUCAAACACAUCUUCCCCCAGAAAAUAAUUCAGUAUCUAACGCAAUUACGCAAGAUUGUAAUUCUGGAUUUCCAAGAUUAUUCUGUAUGUGACAAAAAGAUGUCAAAAAGGUCAAAGGUCGGCCUAAUGGAUCUGACAACCUGUCUGACAACCUGUCUGAUAUCAAGUGCGUUCAUGGUAAUAAAGCUAUGCCAUUUUACUGGAUCUUUUUUCAAGCCAAAUAGGAAAAAAGGAGGUCCAUACCAAAGACUUGGAUAUUUCAGUUCUUUGUCGUUAUACACUGAACAAAAAUAUAAAUGCAAAAUGUAAAGUGUUGGUCCCAUGUUUCAUGAGUUGAAAUGAAAGAUCUCGGAAAUGUACCAUUCACAUAAAAAAUCAUAUUUCUCUCUAAUUUGGUGCACAAAUUUGUUUUACAUCCCUGUUUGUGAGCAUUUCUCUUUUGGCAAGAUAAUCCAUCCACCUGACAGGUGUGGCAUAUCAAGAAGAUGAUUAAACAGCAUGGUCAUUACACAGGUGCACCUUGUGCUAGGGACAAUAAAAGGCCACACUAAAAUGUGCAGUUUUGUCACACAACGCAAUGCCACAGAUGUCUCAAAUUUUGAGGGAGCACGCAAUUGGCCUGCUGACUGCAGGAAUGUCCACCAGAGCUGUUUCCAGAGAAUUCAAUGUUAAUUUCUCUACCAUAAGCUGCCUCCAACAUUGUUUUAGAGAAAUUGGCAGUACGUCUAACCGGCCUCACAACCGCAGACCAUGUGUAACCACGCCAGCCCAAGACCUCCACAUCUGGCUUCUACACCUGCAGUAUCAUCUGAGACCAGCCACCCGGACAGCUGAUGAAAGUGUGGGCAUGCACAUCCAAAGACUUUCUGCACAAACUGUCAGAAACCGUCUCGGAAGCUCAUCCGCAUGCUCAUCGUCCCCACCAGAGUCUUGACCUGACAGCAGUUCGGUGUUGUAACAGACUUCAGUGUGCAAAAGCUCACCUUCGAUGGCCACUGGCAUACUGGAGAACUGUGCUCUUCCCGGAUCCCGGUUUCAACUGUACAAGGCAGAUGGCAGAAAGUGUGUAUGGCGUUAUGUGGGCGUGCGGAUGGCUGAUGUCAAUGUUGGGGGGUUAUGGUAUGGCGGUGGGAUUAUGGUAUGGGCAGGUGGCAGUGGUGUUAUAGUAUGGGCAGGCAUAAGCUACGGACAACAAACACAAGUGCAUUUUAUCUAUGGCAGUUUGCAUGCACAGAGAUACCGUGACGAGAUUCUGAUGCCCAUUGUUGUGCCAUUCAUCCACCGCCAUCACCUCAUGUUUCAGCAUGAUAAUGCACAGCCCCAUGUCGCAAGGAUCUGUACACAAUUCCUGGAAGCUGGAAAUGUCCCAGUUCUUCCAUGACCUGCAUAUUUACCAGAGAUGUCACCCAUGGAGCAUGUUUGGGAUGCUCUGGAUUGACGUGCACGACAGUGUGUUCCAGUUCUCGCCAAUAUCCAGCAACUUUGCACAGCCAUUGAAGAGGAGUGGGACAACAUUUCACAGGCCACAAUCAACAGCCUGAUCAACUCUAUGCGAAGGAGAUGUGUCACGCUGCAUGAGCCAAAUGGUGGUCACACUAGAUACUGACUGGUUUCCUGAUCUACUCCCCUACUUUCUUAAAGGUAUCUGUGACCAACAGAUGCAUAUCUGUAUUCCCAGUCAUGUAAAAUAAAUAGAUUAGGGCCUAAUUAAUUUAUUUCAAUUGACUGAUUUCCUUAUAUGAACUGUAACUGUAAAAUCAUAGAAAUUGUUGCGUGCUGCAUUUAUAUUUUUGUUUAGUGUAUUUACAAAAGCCAAUCAUGGUUGAUCAUGGUUGUUCAUCGAAUCAUGAAUUUGAUUGAAGUCUGAGAUGUUCUACUGUAGAAUCUAAUCACUCGAUGAAGUCAUGUCAUUCAGAUGGAUAGAAGUUUAUCACGGAGAUAUAUUUUUUGAGAGGAUUAAAGAACUGGAGGUAUGCCAUUGGGAUGAACAGUACUGUAUGUGUGGCUGUGGGUAUCAGUCUCCUUUCAUUUCCUCAGUCUCUGUCUACAGUCUAAAUGAAGUUAAUAACCUUUUACUUUUCUGUUCUGAUCUGAAAUAGAGACAAUACAUUCUGUGUGAGACACAUGACUACUGCAUACUUGUCCUUCCUCUGAUUGUGGGAAAAGCCAUGGGGCCACAAAUGUAUUUUUGUAUCACUCUGUGCAUUUGAUGUAAUUUGAUUUCCUAAUGAUUUCUUUAGACUGUAUUAAGAGAAUAAAUGUUUAGAUGACAUCAGAUAUAGUAGUAUGUCCUGUAUUUUCCGGAUUAUACUGCGGUGUACAAUCUUGAUUUUACGGCUAGAGGGCAGUCAUUGCAAACUUUCCAACAUGCUACUCUCAAUAGCCAAAUAAAUCUAUGGGUAUAUGUGUUUUUAUCUCCUCUCCUCUCUGUUUAGGGACUAUUGAGCAACUCUCUUCCCCCCCAUGGGAUGCAGAUAAUUGUAUAUCAAAACUCCCACUGUGUGUUGCGUACAAACACUUACAGUGAGGGGGAAAAGUAUUUGAUCCCCUGCUGAUUUUGUACGUUUGCCCACUGACAAAGAAAUGAUCAGUGUAUAAUUUGAAUGGUAGGUUUAUUUGAAC
This 10599-nucleotide long non-coding RNA is filed under the name Salmo trutta (river trout). Its description in RNAcentral is "lncRNA (ENSSTUG00000002223.1)". Lineage: Eukaryota; Metazoa; Chordata; Actinopteri; Salmoniformes; Salmonidae. The record is from RNAcentral.